AAGUCGUAACAAGGUUUCCGUAGGUGAACCUGCGGAAGGAUCAUUAGAAGUGCUUCUCAAAGGCGGGGCGCCCACGCAUAGCAUAGCACCUCCCUCUCCCAGCGAGACCCGCUGCCCGCUUGUUACGGUCAAAAUGUUGACUCCUCAACUGGGUCCUGCCCCAACCCCCAUCCCGACCGAGCUAAGUCACGCUGCAACAGCCUGUGGAACUGGCAGAGAGAGAGGAGGGACCUAUGCUGGGGGCGUCCGACUUUGACAUUGGAGAACAAAACCCCCGUGCACCUUCCCCAACCUUGCUUCCCGCGCUUCCGGGCGCGGGGAGGGAACCUUCCAACCCUUCCGAAACAGAAGUCUGACACGAGGAAAGAUAGAAAAGUUAAAACUUUCAACAACGGAUCUCUUGGUUCUC
Molecule: unclassified non-coding RNA, 409 nt
Filed under: fungal sp.
Lineage: Eukaryota; Fungi
Description: partial internal transcribed spacer region
Rfam family: Eukaryotic small subunit ribosomal RNA (bases 1-46)
Source: RNAcentral